Molecule: ribosomal RNA, 1089 nt
Filed under: Triticum aestivum (bread wheat)
Lineage: Eukaryota; Viridiplantae; Streptophyta; Magnoliopsida; Poales; Poaceae
Description: partial small subunit ribosomal RNA
Source: RNAcentral
AUGUCGCUGCUCGCCGUCGUCACCAGCCGCGCCGCGGCCGUGCGCCCGCUUCGCGCCUCGGCGGCCUCGGGAGAGGCGGCGGCGGCCGCCGCGGACCAGCCGGCGGAGCGGAGGCCGGUGAAGAUAAUACUGCCCAAGAAGAAGCCGCAGAAGUGGUCCACGGGGAUGGAGCCAGGGUCGUACGGCGGCGGCCCGACCACCAUCAAGCCGCGCAAGUACUGGAUGGGGAAGGAGGACCGCGACCCCAUUGGCAACACCGACGACUUCAUCUGGAACAAGAACUUCCUCCCCCACAUGGAGCGCGUCAUCGCCAACGGCGGCACCGACACGCCCGCCACCAUCCCCCGCGUCACGCCGGCGGACGAGGACUCAGGGUUUCUAAGCAUCAACCGCGCAAUGGACCUUGACAGUGUGGAUGUUGAUCUGAGCAAGGAGCUUAUGGCACCAGCCAAGUCAAUCUUGCAGACGCAGCUCAAGGCUGCCCGCCGUGGUCGAUCCACUAGCGUUGAGGCUGUCAAUAGAUCCACCUUCAUUAGAUGGAAGCUAGCUCCGACUCGACGGGAGCAGGAGCAAUGGGACCGAGCGACCAGGGCAACCACCGGUGGCAUUGAUGUCAUACUAAGGGAGUCGCAGCAGAAAGUGCAGCUGAAAGGGGACCCUAAGGUGGUGGCAGCUGAGGCCAGAGAGCAAUACCUAAAGUUGAAAGAAAGGUUGCAGUUGCUUACUUUAGGUAUUGGUGGCAUCGGGGUGGUUUCUGCUUAUGUUUCAUACACUCCUGAAAUUGCUGCGAGCUUUAGUGCAGGGCUGAUUGGAUCUCUGGUGUAUCUCCGCAUGCUUGGAACCAGUGUGGAUUCUUUAGCGGGUGGAACUAAAGCAGCUGCCAAGGGCGCUGCGGCACAGCCAAGAUUGCUUAUUCCAAUGGUUCUUGUGAUGAUGUACAAUCGAUGGAAUGCGAUACUAGUUCCAGAGUACGGCUUCAUGCACCUGGAGUUGAUACCCAUGCUCGUUGGGUUUUUUACCUACAAGAUUGCUAUGUUUACUCAAGCGAUUCAGGAAUCAAUACCUGAUGUUGGAAACCGCGAAGUUUGA